UAGGGAAUCUUCGGCAAUGGACGGAAGUCUGACCGAGCAACGCCGCGUGAGUGAAGAAGGUUUUCGGAUCGUAAAGCUCUGUUGUUAGAGAAGAACGUUGGUAGGAGUGGAAAAUCUACCAAGUGACGGUAACUAACCAGAAAGGGACGGCUAACUACGUGCCAGCAGCCGCGGUAAUACGUAGGUCCCGAGCGUUGUCCGGAUUUAUUGGGCGUAAAGCGAGCGCAGGCGGUUCUUUAAGUCUGAAGUUAAAGGCAGUGGCUUAACCAUUGUACGCUUUGGAAACUGGAGGACUUGAGUGCAGAAGACGAGAGUGGAAUUCCAUGUGUAGCGGUGAAAUGCGUAGAUAUAUGGAGGAACACCGGUGGCGAAAGCGGCUCUCUGGUCUGUAACUGACGCUGAGGCUCGAAAGCGUGGGGAGCAAACAGG
RNAcentral lists this ribosomal RNA (429 nucleotides) under Bacillota bacterium. RNAcentral describes it as "Firmicutes bacterium partial 16S ribosomal RNA". It matches the Rfam family "Bacterial small subunit ribosomal RNA", at positions 355 to 776 of the family's 1533-position model. The record is from RNAcentral. Lineage: Bacteria; Bacillati; Bacillota.